AUUGAACGCUGGCGGCAGGCCUAACACAUGCAAGUCGAACGGUAACAGGAAGCAGCUUGCUGCUUUGCUGACGAGUGGCGGACGGGUGAGUAAUGUCUGGGAAACUGCCCGAUGGAGGGGGAUAACUACUGGAAACGGUAGCUAAUACCGCAUAACGUCGCAAGACCAAAGAGGGGGACCUUAGGGCCUCUUGCCAUCGGAUGUGCCCAGAUGGGAUUAGCUAGUAGGUGGGGUAACGGCUCACCUAGGCGACGAUCCCUAGCUGGUCUGAGAGGAUGACCAGCCACACUGGAACGGGGACACGGUCCAGCCCCCGACGGGAGGCAGCAGGGGGGAAUAUUGCAAAAUGGGGGCAAGCCGGAUGCAGCCAUGCGGGGUGUAUGAAGAAGGCCUUCGGGUUGUAAAGUAUUUUCAGCGGGGAGGAAGGGAGUAAAGUUAAUACCUUUGCUCAUUGACGUUCCCCGCAGAAGAAGCCCCGGCAAACUCCGU
This 489-nucleotide ribosomal RNA is filed under the name uncultured bacterium. RNAcentral describes it as "partial 16S ribosomal RNA". It matches the Rfam family "Bacterial small subunit ribosomal RNA", at positions 29 to 506 of the family's 1533-position model. The record is from RNAcentral.